AUGUUGAUUGUACCGAACGAAGGAUUUGCCUUAUCACGAAAGCCACAUUCGUUUCAUUUGAGGAAGUCACAUGUCCUGUUCCCUAUAAAUAAGGAGAUUCAUUCUUUUUUUCAGAAAUCCCCUCUUCUUCCUCCUCAAGCCCCUAUCACAAGACCAAGUGGAUCUCAUCCUGCAGAAGACUCAGAGCGGAUCUAUCUAAUGGCAUGGCUGGCUGCCGGAUGUGAUCUAUUCUCGUGUCACAUCGCUUUCUUUCUUCUCCCUCCAUUUUCUUCACUACUGCCGCUUCUACACAUAAAUCAAAGAAGCAUUGUGGAAUAG
RNAcentral lists this ribosomal RNA (318 nucleotides) under Triticum aestivum (bread wheat). RNAcentral's name for it is "partial small subunit ribosomal RNA". The record is from RNAcentral. Lineage: Eukaryota; Viridiplantae; Streptophyta; Magnoliopsida; Poales; Poaceae.